Molecule: ribosomal RNA, 519 nt
Filed under: uncultured bacterium
Lineage: Bacteria
Description: bacterial SSU rRNA
Rfam family: Bacterial small subunit ribosomal RNA
Source: RNAcentral
GGACGAACGCUGGCGGCGUGCCUAAUACAUAGCAAGUCGAACGGUCUUUCUAUGGAAGCUUGCUUCCACUGAGAAGAUAGUGGCGAACGGGUGAGUAACACGUGGGUAACCUGCCCAUAAGAGGGGGAUAACAUCCGGAAACGGGUGCUAAUACCGCAUAGUUUUCUUGAUCGCAUGAUUGAGAAAGGAAAGACGGCCUUUGUGCUGUCGCUUAUGGAUGGACCCGCGGCGUAUUAGUUAGUUGGUGAGGUAACGGCUCACCAAGACGAUGAUACGUAGCCGACCUGAGAGGGUGAUCGGCCACAUUGGGACUGAGACACGGCCCAAACUCCUACGGGAGGCAGCAGUAGGGAAUCUUCCGCAAUGGACGAAAGUCUGACGGAGCAACGCCGCGUGAGUGAAAGAAGGUUUUCGGAUCGUAAAACUCUGUUGUCAGAGAAGAACAAGUUGGAGAGUAACUGCUCCAGCCUUGACGGUAUCUGACCAGAAAGCCACGGCUAACUACGUGCCAGCCGCCGC